CUACGGGACGCACCAGGCGCGAAACCUUUACAAUGUACGUAAGUGCGAUAAGGGAACUCCCAGUGCUCAUGUAAUGCAUGGGCUUUUGUUAAGUGUAAAUAGCUUGGCGAAUAAGUGGUGGGUAAGACGGGUGCCAGCCGCCGCGGUAACACCUGCGCCACAAGUGGCAUUCACGUUUACUGGGCCUAAAGCGUUCGUAGCCGGAUAGGUAAGUCUUAAGUGAAAUCGUUGCGCUUAACAAAACGACGUGCUUGAGAUACUGUUUAUCUUGGAACCGGGGGGAGUUAGGGGUAUUCCAGAGGGAGCGGUAAAAUGCUAUAAUCUCUGGAGGACCACCUGUGGCGAAGGCGCCUAACUAGAACGGGUUCGACGGUGAGGAACGAAAGCCAGGGGAGCAAAACGGAUUAGAUACCCGCGUAGUC
RNAcentral lists this ribosomal RNA (422 nucleotides) under uncultured archaeon. RNAcentral's name for it is "partial 16S ribosomal RNA". It matches the Rfam family "Archaeal small subunit ribosomal RNA", at positions 323 to 746 of the family's 1478-position model. The record is from RNAcentral.